GUCCACGCCCUAAACGAUGCGAACUGGACGUUGGGCACAAUUCGGUGCUCAGUGUCGAAGCUAACGCGUUAAGUUCGCCGCCUGGGGAGUACGCUCGCAAGAGUGAAACUCAAAUGAAUUGACGGGGGCCCCGCACAAGCGGUGGAGUAUGUGGUUUAAUUCGAUGCAACGCGAAGAACCUUACCUGGCCUUGACAUGUCCGGAACUGCUCAGAGAUGGGCGGGUGCCUUCGGGAACCGGAACACAGGUGCUGCAUGGCUGUCGU
Molecule: ribosomal RNA, 265 nt
Filed under: uncultured bacterium
Lineage: Bacteria
Description: partial 16S ribosomal RNA
Rfam family: Bacterial small subunit ribosomal RNA
Source: RNAcentral